UAGGGAAUAUUGGACAAUGGGCGAAAGCCUGAUCCAGCAACGCCGCGUGCGCGAUGACGGCCUUCGGGUUGUAAAGCGCUUUUAGAGGAGAUGAGAAAGGACAGUAUCCUCAGAAUAAGCCUCGGCGAACUACGUGCCAGCAGCCGCGGUAAAACGUAGGAGGCUAGCGUUAUCCGGAUUUAUUGGGCGUAAAGCGCGUGCAGGCGGUUUGAUAAGUUGGAUGUGAAAUCUCCCGGCUUAACUGGGAGCGGUCGUUCAAAACCAUCAGACUAGAGAAUGGGAGAGGAAGGUGGAAUUCCGGGUGUAGUGGUGAAAUGCGUAGAUAUCCGGAGGAACACCGGUGGCGAAAGCGGCCUUCUAGACCAUUUCUGACGCUAAGACGCGAAAGCUAGGGUAGCACACGG
Molecule: ribosomal RNA, 404 nt
Filed under: uncultured bacterium
Lineage: Bacteria
Description: bacterial SSU rRNA
Rfam family: Bacterial small subunit ribosomal RNA
Source: RNAcentral